This is a ribosomal RNA of 991 nucleotides. It matches the Rfam family "Eukaryotic small subunit ribosomal RNA", at positions 91 to 1093 of the family's 1831-position model.
GAAUGGCUCAUUAUAUAAGUUAUCGUUUAUUUGAUAGUACCUUACUACAUGGAUAACCGUGGUAAUUCUAGAGCUAAUACAUGCUAAAAAUCCCGACUUCGGAAGGGAUGUAUUUAUUAGAUUAAAAACCAAUGCCCUCUGGGCUCUCUGGUGAUUCAUAAUAACUUCUCGAAUCGCAUGGCCUUGCGCCGGCGAUGGUUCAUUCAAAUUUCUUCCCUAUCAACUUUCGAUGUUUGGGUAGUGGCCAAACAUGGUUGCAACGGGUAACGGAGGGUUAGGGCUCGACCCCGGAGAAGGAGCCUGAGAAACGGCUACUACAUCCAAGGAAGGCAGCAGGCGCGCAAAUUACCCAAUCCCGAUUCGGGGAGGUAGUGACAAUAAAUACUGAUACAGGGCUCUUUUGGGUCUUGUAAUUGGAAUGAGUACAAUUUAAAUCCCUUAACGAGGAACAAUUGGAGGGCAAGUCUGGUGCCAGCAGCCGCGGUAAUUCCAGCUCCAAUAGCGUAUAUUAAAGUUGUUGUGGUUAAAAAGCUCGUAGUUGAACCUUGGGCCUGGCUGGCCGGUCCGCCUCACCGCGUGUACUGGUCCGGCCGGGCCUUUCCCUCUGUGGAACCCCAUGCCCUUCACUGGGCGUGGCGGGGAAACAGGACUUUUACUUUGAAAAAAUUAGAGUGCUCCAGGCAGGCCUAUGCUCGAAUACAUUAGCAUGGAAUAAUGAAAUAGGACGUGCGGUUCUAUUUUGUUGGUUUCUAGGACCGCCGUAAUGAUUAAUAGGGACAGUCGGGGGCAUCAGUAUUCAAUUGUCAGAGGUGAAAUUCUUGGAUUUAUUGAAGACUAACUACUGCGAAAGCAUUUGCCAAGGAUGUUUUCAUUAAUCAGGAACGAAAGUUAGGGGAUCGAAGACGAUCAGAUACCGUCGUAGUCUUAACCAUAAACUAUGCCGACUAGGGAUCGGACGAUGUUAUUUUUUGACUCGUUCGGCACCUUACGA